This 24-nucleotide non-coding RNA is filed under the name Arabidopsis thaliana (thale cress). The record is from RNAcentral. Lineage: Eukaryota; Viridiplantae; Streptophyta; Magnoliopsida; Brassicales; Brassicaceae.
AACCCAAAGUAUAAGCGCCCACCU